UGUCUUUUCGAAAAAAUAUAAAGUCCAAUCUGCUCACUGAGUAUUUAAAGAGCCGCAGUAUACUGACUGUGCAAAGGUAGCAUAAUCAAUAGUUUUUUAAUUGAAAACUUGAAUGAAAGAUUAGACGAAAAAUUUAUUUUCUUUAUUUUAGUAAAUUGAAUUUUAAUUUUAAGUGAAAAUGCUUAAUUACAUUUAAAAGACGAGAAGACCCUAUAGAUUUUUAUUAUUGAAAUAAAUUUUAAAUUUAAUUUAAUUAAAUAAUUUAAUUGGGGCGAUUUUGUAAAAUAUAAAACUUAAUUUUUUGGUACCAUUAAUAAUUGAAUAUUUUGAUCUAAAAUUUUUAAAGAAAAGAUUAAAUUACCUUAGGGAUAACAGCGUAAUUUCAUUUAAGAGUUCAUAUCUAUAAUGAAGUUUGCGACCUCGAUGUUGAAUUAAGAUAAUAUAUUGGAGUAGAAAUUAAUAUAAUUAGUCUGUUCGACUAUUAAAUUCUUACGUG
RNAcentral lists this ribosomal RNA (496 nucleotides) under Loensia moesta. RNAcentral's name for it is "partial 16S ribosomal RNA". It matches the Rfam family "Bacterial large subunit ribosomal RNA", at positions 1824 to 2602 of the family's 2925-position model. The record is from RNAcentral. Lineage: Eukaryota; Metazoa; Arthropoda; Insecta; Psocodea; Psocidae.